GCGCGGCUGGCCGCAUCCCUGCUGCUACUCGCGGCCCAGGUGGCCUGUGAGUUCGGUGUACUGCGAGUUGUGCCCCAAAGCGGUGGGACCCGGGGCAGGGACUACUGCAUCCUUUACAACCCACAGUGGGCCCACUUGCCUCAUGACCUCAACAAAGUGGUCCCUCCAAGAGGCAACAAGACACAGUAUGAGGAGAUAAGCAUCCCUGUGGCCCUGCUAAGCCACAGGGACCUUCAAGACAUCUUCAGGGGCUGCUGGUGGCCUACUGCCACAGGUUUGAUAUCCAGGUGCAGUCCUCCAGGAUUUACUUUGUGGCCUGCACCAUUGCCUAUGGCCUGGGCCUCCUGGUGACCUUCGUGGCUCUCGUCCUCAUGCGACAUGGCCAGCCUGCACUCCUCUACUUGGUCCCCUGCACACUGCUGACCAGCUGCACCGUGGCUCUGUGGCGCCGGGAGAUGGGCGCCUUCUGGACGGGCAGCGGUUUUGCGAAGGAUGCACCUCAGACCCCGUGGGCUGCACCCCAGGGACCUGUGCCUCCGAAGGAUGUGGAUGCCUCUCUCUCG
Molecule: long non-coding RNA, 563 nt
Filed under: Rattus norvegicus (Norway rat)
Lineage: Eukaryota; Metazoa; Chordata; Mammalia; Rodentia; Muridae
Description: long non-coding RNA NONRATT026475
Source: RNAcentral